Molecule: long non-coding RNA, 232 nt
Organism: Mustela erminea (ermine)
Lineage: Eukaryota; Metazoa; Chordata; Mammalia; Carnivora; Mustelidae
Exons: 3
Source: RefSeq, a predicted model, not a curated record
CACUUGUCUUACAAAACGUCCAAAGAAGGGAGGACGCAACGAGAAAUUACCGAAAUACUUCAGUAGUGUAACAAGCCCAGACAUCUUCAUAUGGUAAGGUCUAUGCCCAGUGUGGGGCUUGAACUCAUGCUCCUGAGAUCAAGACUUGCACGCUCCACCGAAGUCAGCAAGAUCCUGAGACCAGACCUGAGCGGAGAUCUAGGGUCAGACGCUCAACCGACUGGGCCUCCCA